CCUACGGGUGGCUGCAGUGGGGAAUAUUGGACAAUGGGCGAAAGCCUGAUCCAGCCAUGCCGCGUGUGUGAAGAAGGCCUUCGGGUUGUAAAGCACUUUCAGUGGGGAAGAAAGCCUUGGGGCUAAUACCCUCGAGGAAGGACAUCACCCACAGAAGAAGCACCGGCUAACUCCGUGCCAGCAGCCGCGGUAAUACGGAGGGUGCGAGCGUUAAUCGGAAUUACUGGGCGUAAAGCGCGCGUAGGCGGUCUGAUAAGCCGGUUGUGAAAGCCCCGGGCUCAACCUGGGAACGGCAUCCGGAACUGUCAGGCUAGAGUGCAGGAGAGGAAGGUAGAAUUCCCGGUGUAGCGGUGAAAUGCGUAGAGAUCGGGAGGAAUACCAGUGGCGAAGGAGGCCUUCUGGACUGACACUGACGCUGAGGUGCGAAAGCGUGGGUAGCAAACAGGAUUAGAUACCCGGGUAGUC
This 465-nucleotide ribosomal RNA is filed under the name Vreelandella stevensii. RNAcentral describes it as "partial 16S ribosomal RNA". It matches the Rfam family "Bacterial small subunit ribosomal RNA", at positions 338 to 795 of the family's 1533-position model. The record is from RNAcentral. Lineage: Bacteria; Pseudomonadati; Pseudomonadota; Gammaproteobacteria; Oceanospirillales; Halomonadaceae.